CAAGUAAGUCAGGCAACCGCGGGGGAGCGGCGAAAGCCGCCCUUUGAGGAAAGUCCGGGCUCCACAGGGCAGGAUAACGGGUAACACCCGCCGUCGGCGACGACAGGACAAGUGCAACAGAAAUAGACUACCGGCAGCAAUGCCGGCAAAGGUGGAAAGGCGAGGUAAAAGCUCACCCGUAGCCGCGGAGACGCGGCUAUGCUGUAAACUCUAUCCGGAGCAACACCGUGUAGGAGCUGCAUUAGAUUGCGAGGUUUGCCCGACCGUUCCGAGAGGUGGCAUUGAGGUGCUUGGCAACAGACACCCCAGAUAGAUGGUUGCUCAACGACAGAAUCCGGCUUAUCGAUUUGCUUGCAAA
This 358-nucleotide RNase P RNA is filed under the name Oscillospiraceae bacterium. RNAcentral describes it as "RNase P RNA component class A". It matches the Rfam family "Bacterial RNase P class A". From Rfam's summary of the family: Ribonuclease P (RNase P) is a ubiquitous endoribonuclease, found in archaea, bacteria and eukarya as well as chloroplasts and mitochondria. Its best characterised activity is the generation of mature 5'-ends of tRNAs by cleaving the 5'-leader elements of precursor-tRNAs. Lineage: Bacteria; Bacillati; Bacillota; Clostridia; Eubacteriales; Oscillospiraceae. The record is from RNAcentral.